AGGCACCCUUCCUCAGCUGUGGAUUGCUGCUGCUGGGACUCAUCCCAGGGGUUGCUGCUAGUCCUGUCUCCUCCUUUUGCAGAAGAGGAAACUGAAGCUGAGCAAUAUGCUCAGGCCUGCCCAGUCAUGAGGUUCUGGACCCCAACUCUCCCGAUGGGCAAAAGCAUCCUUAUGGACCAGAACCCUUCCUUGGAAUCAGAAGACUCAGAUCUGCCCCAAGAAGCACCCCUCGUGCUCUGA
Molecule: long non-coding RNA, 240 nt
Filed under: Ictidomys tridecemlineatus (thirteen-lined ground squirrel)
Lineage: Eukaryota; Metazoa; Chordata; Mammalia; Rodentia; Sciuridae
Description: lncRNA (ENSSTOG00000033463.1)
Source: RNAcentral